Molecule: ribosomal RNA, 533 nt
Filed under: Fermentozyma sake
Lineage: Eukaryota; Fungi; Ascomycota; Pichiomycetes; Serinales; Debaryomycetaceae
Description: LSU rRNA
Rfam family: Eukaryotic large subunit ribosomal RNA
Source: RNAcentral
AGCGGCAAAAGCUCAAAUUUGAAAUCUGCGUAAGCCGAGUUGUAAUUUGAAGAUGGCUACUUUGGUAAUGGCUCUUGUCUAUGUUCCUUGGAACAGGACGUCACAGAGGGUGAGAAUCCCGUGCGAUGAGAUGUCCAUUACCGUGUAAAGUGCUUUCGAAGAGUCGAGUUGUUUGGGAAUGCAGCUCUAAGUGGGUGGUAAAUUCCAUCUAAAGCUAAAUAUUGGCGAGAGACCGAUAGCGAACAAGUACAGUGAUGGAAAGAUGAAAAGAACUUUGAAAAGAGAGUGAAAAAGUACGUGAAAUUGUUGAAAGGGAAGGGCUUGAGAUCAGACUUGGUAUUUUGUAUGGCUUGCUUUCGGGCGGGUCCUCUGCAGUUUACUGGGCCAGCAUCGGUUUGGGUGGCAGGAUAAUAGCGAAGGAAUGUGGCUCUACUUCGGUGGAGUGUUAUAGCCUUUGUUGAUACUGCCUGCCUAGACCGAGGACUGCGUCUUUUGACUAGGAUGCUGGCAUAAUGAUCCUAAGCCGCCCGUCU